Molecule: ribosomal RNA, 469 nt
Filed under: uncultured organism
Description: partial 16S ribosomal RNA
Rfam family: Bacterial small subunit ribosomal RNA
Source: RNAcentral
CACUCCUGCGGGAGGCAGCAGUGAGGAAUAUUGGACAAUGGGUGGAAGCCUGAUCCAGCCAUCCCGCGUGCAGGAAGACGGCCCUAUGGGUUGUAAACUGCUUUUAUCUGGGGAUAAACCUACUUACGUGUAAGUAGCUGAAGGUACCAGAAGAAUAAGCACCGGCUAACUCCGUGCCAGCAGCCGCGGUAAUACGGAGGGUGCAAGCGUUAUCCGGAUUUAUUGGGUUUAAAGGGUCCGUAGGCGGACUGAUAAGUCAGUGGUGAAAUCCGACAGCUUAACUGUCGAACUGCCAUUGAUACUGUUAGUCUUGAGUAAGGUUGAAGUGGCUGGAAUAAGUAGUGUAGCGGUGAAAUGCAUAGAUAUUACUUAGAACACCAAUUGCGAAGGCAGGUCACUAAGUCUUAACUGACGCUGAUGGACGAAAGCGUGGGGAGCGAACAGGAUUAGAAACCCGGGUAGUCCCAUG